UGAGGAAUAUUGGACAAUGGAGGCAACUCUGAUCCAGCCAUGCCGCGUGCAGGAAGACUGCCCUAUGGGUUGUAAACUGCUUUUAUACGGGAAGAAACACUCCCUCGUGAGGGAGCUUGACGGUACCGUAAGAAUAAGGAUCGGCUAACUCCGUGCCAGCAGCCGCGGUAAUACGGAGGAUCCAAGCGUUAUCCGGAAUCAUUGGGUUUAAAGGGUCCGUAGGCUGGCAAUUAAGUCAGGGGUGAAAGUUUGCGGCUCAACCGUAAAAUUGCCUUUGAUACUGGUUGUCUUGAAUUACUGUGAAGUGGUUAGAAUAAGUAGUGUAGCGGUGAAAUGCAUAGAUAUUACUUAGAAUACCAAUUGCGAAGGCAGAUCACUAACAGUAUAUUGACGCUGAGGGACGAAAGCGUGGGGAGCGAACAGGAUUAGAUACCCCCGUAGUCC
This 444-nucleotide ribosomal RNA is filed under the name uncultured prokaryote. Its description in RNAcentral is "bacterial SSU rRNA". It matches the Rfam family "Bacterial small subunit ribosomal RNA", at positions 355 to 796 of the family's 1533-position model. The record is from RNAcentral.